This 254-nucleotide ribosomal RNA is filed under the name uncultured bacterium. Its description in RNAcentral is "partial 16S ribosomal RNA". It matches the Rfam family "Bacterial small subunit ribosomal RNA", at positions 524 to 776 of the family's 1533-position model. The record is from RNAcentral.
UACGGGGGGAGCAAGCGUUGUUCGGAUUUACUGGGCGUAAAGGGCGCGUAGGCGGCCUGUGCAAGUCAGUUGUGAAAUCUCCGGGCUUAACUCGGAACGGUCAACUGAUACUGCUCGGCUAGAGUGCAGAAGGGGCAAUCGGAAUUCUUGGUGUAGCGGUGAAAUGCGUAGAUAUCAAGAGGAACACCUGAGGUGAAGACGGGUUGCUGGGCUGACACUGACGCUGAGGCGCGAAAGCCAGGGGAGCAAACGGG